GGGACACGUGGUAUCCUGUCUGAAUAUGGGGGGACCAUCCUCCAAGGCUAAAUACUCCUGACUGACCGAUAGUGAACCAGUACCGUGAGGGAAAGGCGAAAAGAACCCCGGCGAGGGGAGUGAAAAAGAACCUGAAACCGUGUACGUACAAGCAGUGGGAGCACGCUUAGGCGUGUGACUGCGUACCUUUUGUAUAAUGGGUCAGCGACUUAUAUUCUGUAGCAAGGUUAACCGAAUAGGGGAGCCGAAGGGAAACCGAGUCUUAACUGGGCGUUAAGUUGCAGGGUAUAGACCCGAAACCCGGUGAUCUAGCCAUGGGCAGGUUGAAGGUUGGGUAACACUAACUGGAGGACCGAACCGACUAAUGUUGAAAAAUUAGCGGAUGACUUGUGGCUGGGGGUGAAAGGCCAAUCAAACCGGGAGAUAGCUGGUUCUCCCCGAAAGCUAUUUAGGUAGCGCCUCGUGAAUUCAUCUCCGGGGGUAGAGCACUGUUUCGGCAAGGGGGUCAUCCCGACUUACCAACCCGAUGCAAACUGCGAAUACCGGAGAAUGUUAUCACGGGAGACACACGGCGGGUGCUAACGUCCGUCGUGAAGAGGGAAACAACCCAGACCGCCAGCUAAGGUCCCAAAGUCAUGGUUAAGUGGGAAACGAUGUGGGAAGGCCCAGACAGCCAGGAUGUUGGCUUAGAAGCAGCCAUCAUUUAAAGAAAGCGUAAUAGCUCACUGGUCGAGUCGGCCUGCGCGGAAGAUGUAACGGGGCUAAACCAUGCA
Molecule: ribosomal RNA, 773 nt
Filed under: Escherichia coli
Lineage: Bacteria; Pseudomonadati; Pseudomonadota; Gammaproteobacteria; Enterobacterales; Enterobacteriaceae
Description: partial 23S ribosomal RNA
Rfam family: Bacterial large subunit ribosomal RNA
Source: RNAcentral